CCUACGGGCGGCAGCAGUGAGGAAUAUUGGUCAAUGGGCGGGAGCCUGAACCAGCCAAGUCGCGUGAGGGAAGACGGUCCUACGGAUUGUAAACCUCUUUUGCCGGGGAGCAACGGGGUCCUUGCGAGGGCCCGAUGAGAGUACCCGGAGAAAAAGCAUCGGCUAACUCCGUGCCAGCAGCCGCGGUAAUACGGAGGAUGUGAGCGUUAUCCGGAUUUAUUGGGUUUAAAGGGUGCGUAGGCGGGCUGUUAAGUCAGCGGUAAAAUGACGGGGCUCAAGCCCGGCCUGCCGUUGAAACUGGUAGCCGCGAGUGGGCGAGAGGUAUGCGGAAUGCGUGGUGUAGCAGUGAAAUGCAUAGAUAUCACGCAGAACUCCGAUGGCGAAGGCAGCAUACCGGCGCCCGACUGACGCUGAGGCACGAAAGCGUGGGUAUCGAACAGGAUUAGAUACCCUUGUAGUC
RNAcentral lists this ribosomal RNA (460 nucleotides) under uncultured bacterium. RNAcentral's name for it is "partial 16S ribosomal RNA". It matches the Rfam family "Bacterial small subunit ribosomal RNA", at positions 338 to 795 of the family's 1533-position model. The record is from RNAcentral.